This 468-nucleotide ribosomal RNA is filed under the name uncultured bacterium. Its description in RNAcentral is "partial 16S ribosomal RNA". It matches the Rfam family "Bacterial small subunit ribosomal RNA", at positions 28 to 507 of the family's 1533-position model. The record is from RNAcentral.
GACGAACGCUGGCGGCGUGCUUAACACAUGCAAGUCGAACGGAAAGGCCCUGCUUUUGUGGGGUGCUCGAGUGGCGAACGGGUGAGUAACACGUGAGUAACCUGCCCCUGACUUUGGGAUAACUCUAGGAAACUGGGGCUAAUAUCGGAUAGGAGCUCUUGCUGCAUGGUGGGGGUUGGAAAGUUUCGGCGGUUGGGGAUGGACUCGCGGCUUAUCAGCUUGUUGGUGUGGUAGUGGCUUACCAAGGCUUUGACGGGUAGCCGGCCUGAGAGGGUGACCGGCCACAUUGGGACUGAGAUACGGCCCAGACUCCUACGGGAGGCAGCAGUGGAGAAUAUUGCACAAUGGGCGGAAGCCUGAGGCAGCAACGCCGCGUGCGGGAUGACGGCCUUCGAGUUGUAAACCGCUUUCGCCUGUGACGAAGCGUGAGUGACGGUAAUGGGUAAAGAAGCACCGGCUAACUACGUG